GAUGAACGCUGGCGGCGUGCCUAAUACAUGCAAGUCGAGCGAACAGACGAGGAGCUUGCUCCUCUGACGUUAGCGGCGGACGGGUGAGUAACACGUGGAUAACCUACCUAUAAGACUGGGAUAACUUCGGGAAACCGGAGCUAAUACCGGAUAAUAUAUUGAACCGCAUGGUUCAAUAGUGAAAGACGGUUUUGCUGUCACUUAUAGAUGGAUCCGCGCCGCAUUAGCUAGUUGGCAAGGUAACGGCUUACCAAGGCAACGAUGCGUAGCCGACCUGAGAGGGUGAUCGGCCACACUGGAACUGAGACACGGUCCAGACUCCUACGGGAGGCAGCAGUAGGGAAUCUUCCGCAAUGGGCGAAAGCGUGACGGAGCAACGCCGCGUGAGUGAUGAAGGUCUUCGGAUCGUAAAACUCUGUUAUUAGGGAAGAACAAAUGUGUAAGUAACUAUGCACGUCUUGACGGUACCUAAUCAGAAAGCCACGGCUAACUACGUG
This 497-nucleotide ribosomal RNA is filed under the name uncultured bacterium. RNAcentral's name for it is "partial 16S ribosomal RNA". It matches the Rfam family "Bacterial small subunit ribosomal RNA", at positions 28 to 507 of the family's 1533-position model. The record is from RNAcentral.